RNAcentral lists this long non-coding RNA (1029 nucleotides) under Equus caballus (horse). RNAcentral's name for it is "lncRNA (ENSECAG00000044547.1)". The record is from RNAcentral. Lineage: Eukaryota; Metazoa; Chordata; Mammalia; Perissodactyla; Equidae.
UUUACUGGAUGUGUGAACUUAGGGAAAUUGAGGACUGGAAUAACAUGGUUAAUAGGCCCUCGAUAAAUUGAUCUUUAUCUUUCUGAGCCUUUAUUUCGUCAUCUAUAAAAAGAAGAUAUUAACCUUUUCCUGCUUACUUUAGAGGACACUUGUGAGGAUCAAAUGGGACAAUGUAUCAGGAAGUGGCUUGUAAUAAUGCACCAAUGUACAAACAUGAAGAUUUUAUUACAUUUGUUUUUCUUCGUGGCUACAUGGUAUAGAGGAGGAAUUCGGUGAAGGGCUGAGGAUUUUAAAUUUUAAAGGAUUGACCAUAGAGAGCUGUUUAUGAUCCUAAAGAAGAAAGUGAUAUAAUUAAACACAAUCAGUGGGAUUAUCUUAUUUACACUGAGUAGAGACAAAUGCCUAAUUAUUUACUGAUUCUCUCUCUUGUCUUGCUUUUCCAGUACAACUUAUACACUAUCUCCAAACACAGAUUGAAUCAUCUCAGUUCCCUCACCUUAAUAUCCCCAUUGUUUACAUGAUAACAUCUAUAUUCCUUUGCCUGAUAGUCCAUAGCCUCCAAGAUCUGAACUAAUCUUGCCCUUCUACCUCAAUAUCCUGCUCACCUGCUGUGCAGCCUAUCCUCCAAAACUUAUUUCAUGACCCUUUAUGCUUCUGUGCCUUUGUUCAUGCUUUUUCCAUAAUCUGUAGUGCUAUUCCUCACAUCUGAGUUUUUUGGUGACAUUAUUUGAUUCCAUACGUCACCUACUUAAUAAAGCCUUUUGCCAAAGUUCAUCUUUCUUUCUGCAGUAUUUUAUUGUGUCUUUGUUAUAGCAUGUAUACAUGCAAUAAUAUAUAUAUGCAUGUAAUUAUUAAUUAAGCAAUUAUUGUUUAUGUCCCACUGGACUGUAAGCCCCUUUAGGGCAAGGAUCGUGUCUUACUUAGCAGAAAUGAACAAUGAGUUCCAUUCUCAUAAGCACCUAUUAUGUUUUUUUCUGCACAAUAAAUAUUUGUUGACUGAAUAAGUGAACAUAAAAAUGACUGAAGGCU